Molecule: ribosomal RNA, 221 nt
Filed under: uncultured bacterium
Lineage: Bacteria
Description: partial 16S ribosomal RNA
Rfam family: Bacterial small subunit ribosomal RNA
Source: RNAcentral
GAUGAACGCUGGCGGCGUGCCUAAUACAUGCAAGUCGAACGCACAGCGAAAGGUGCUUGCACCUUUCAAGUGAGCGGCGAACGGGUGAGUAACACGUGGACGACCUGCCUCAAGGCUGGGGAUAACAUUUGGAAACAGAUGCUAAUACCGAAUAAAACUCAGUGUCGCAUGACACAAAGUUAAAAGGCGCUUUGGCGUCACCUAGAGAUGGAUCCGCGGUG